UACGUAGGGUGCAAGCGUUGUUCGGAAUUACUGGGCGUAAAGCGCGCGUAGGCGGGCUUGAAAGUUGAUUGUGAAAGCCCUGGGCUUAACCCGGGAAUGGCAGUCAAAACUUCAAGUCUUGAGUGCCUGAGAGGAUGGCGGAAUUCCCGGUGUAGUAGUGAAAUACGUAGAUAUCGGGAAGAACACCUGAGGCGAAGGCGGCUAUCUGGCGGUGCACUGACGCUGAGGAGCGAAAGCCAGGGGAGCAAACGGG
This 253-nucleotide ribosomal RNA is filed under the name uncultured bacterium. RNAcentral describes it as "partial 16S ribosomal RNA". It matches the Rfam family "Bacterial small subunit ribosomal RNA", at positions 524 to 776 of the family's 1533-position model. The record is from RNAcentral.